This 79-nucleotide small nuclear RNA is filed under the name Pristionchus pacificus. Its description in RNAcentral is "SmY spliceosomal RNA". It matches the Rfam family "SmY spliceosomal RNA". The record is from Rfam by way of RNAcentral. Lineage: Eukaryota; Metazoa; Nematoda; Chromadorea; Rhabditida; Neodiplogasteridae.
AUUUGUACAUUACAUGUAUCAGGGCCAUGAACGAGACCCGGAGAGAGUUUUUGGGUACCCUUUCGCGCUUGAAAGGGUU